UACAGGGGGGGCAAGCGUUGUUCGGAAUUACUGGCGUAAAGGGUUCGUAGGUGGCCAACUAAGUCAGACGUGAAAUCCCUCAGCUUAACUGGGGAACUGCGUCUGAUACUGGAUGGCUUGAGUGUAGGAGAGGAAUGCGGAAUUCCAGGUGUAGCGGUGAAAUGCGUAGAUAUCUGGAGGAACACCGGUGGCGAAGGCGGCAUUCUGGACUACAACUGACACUGAGGAACGAAAGCCAGGGGAGCAAACGGG
Molecule: ribosomal RNA, 252 nt
Filed under: uncultured bacterium
Lineage: Bacteria
Description: partial 16S ribosomal RNA
Rfam family: Bacterial small subunit ribosomal RNA
Source: RNAcentral